Sorex fumeus (smoky shrew) is the source of this 106-nucleotide small nuclear RNA. Lineage: Eukaryota; Metazoa; Chordata; Mammalia; Eulipotyphla; Soricidae. The record is from RefSeq and is a predicted model, not a curated record.
GUGCUCACUUUGGCAGUAUAUAUACUAAAAUUGGAAUGACACAGAGUAGAUUAACAUGACCCCUGCACAAGAUGACAUGAAAAUUCAUGAAGUGUUCCAUACUUUU